AACGAACGCUUGCGGCAGGCUUAACACAUGCAAGUCGAGCGCCCCGCAAGGGGAGCGGCAGACGGGUGAGUAACGCGUGGGAAUGUACCCUUUGCUACGGAACAGCUCCGGGAAACUGGAAUUAAUACCGUAUGUGCCCUUCGGGGGAAAGAUUUAUCGGCAAAGGAUCAGCCCGCGUUGGAUUAGCUAGUUGGUGGGGU
Molecule: ribosomal RNA, 200 nt
Filed under: uncultured bacterium
Lineage: Bacteria
Description: partial 16S ribosomal RNA
Rfam family: Bacterial small subunit ribosomal RNA
Source: RNAcentral